GCGCAACCCUUAUCCUUUGUUGCCAGCGCGUGAUGGCGGGAACUCAAAGGAGACUGCCGGUGAUAAACCGGAGGAAGGUGGGGAUGACGUCAAGUCAUCAUGGCCCUUACGAGUAGGGCUACACACGUGCUACAAUGGCGCAUACAAAGAGAAGCGACCUCGCGAGAGCAAGCGGACCUCACAAAGUGCGUCGUAGUCCGGAUCGGAGUCUGCAACUCGACUCCGUGAAGUCGGAAUCGCGAGUAUGAUCGUGGAUCAGAAUGCCACGGUGAAUACGUUCCCGGGCCUUGUACACACCGCCCGUCACACCAUGGGAGUGGGUUGCAAAAGAAGU
This 334-nucleotide ribosomal RNA is filed under the name Pantoea sp. RNAcentral's name for it is "bacterial SSU rRNA". It matches the Rfam family "Bacterial small subunit ribosomal RNA", at positions 1096 to 1427 of the family's 1533-position model. The record is from RNAcentral. Lineage: Bacteria; Pseudomonadati; Pseudomonadota; Gammaproteobacteria; Enterobacterales; Erwiniaceae.